Molecule: long non-coding RNA, 853 nt
Organism: Mustela erminea (ermine)
Lineage: Eukaryota; Metazoa; Chordata; Mammalia; Carnivora; Mustelidae
Exons: 3
Source: RefSeq, a predicted model, not a curated record
UCAGGCCCUUCUGCUGGAAAGUCAACUAUUUCAGGCUCUCUCCUUCGAAUCUCAUGAAUAAACAAUGCCUGCACUUAAAGUCCCAGAGUGCCCACGUCCAGACCUGAAAUUAACUCCAUUGGCCUCCAGCAGACCCCGAACUAGCCUCGUGCAUUAAGCCCAGCGAGAGGACUGGGGACUUGCCAGGGCUUCGCCUCUCAGAUGGCUCAGGCAGCAUCAGCCUUGUUUGGUUAUUCAGAAUGUCCCGUUUUGUGACACAGUGCUGAGAACCACCGCGACACGGCAACAAGGGCACCUUUUCGUUCCUCCUCUCCAGUACUCUACUCCGCUCAUUUUAAGUAGUAAAUGCUAAAUUCUGGAAGGACAGAGGCUGCGUAUCUGUACCACCAUGGGUGUCAGGCGAAGAACUCUGCAUGCAUUUGACCAGCACCUAGUAAGCGGCAGAGUCCAUCUCUGAGAACCAACACCAGCCAUCAGAAAGGAUGAACACCCAACUUUUGUAUCAACAUGGAUGGGACUGGAGGAGAUAAUGCUGAGUGAAGAUGGCUGGAAGCUCUGUAGUAGACAUGAAUACAACUAGGUGACUAUCAGAUCACCCUCAGCACCCCAGAAAUCCACCAGCAGACUGACUGAAUGAACUCCACAACUAAAGUAGAGAAGAGGCCACAUUGAAGAAGCUAGAAAGUACAGAGAUGUGGCUUGGGAGAAAGUGGACCAUGGCAGCUGUGGUGGGGAGGGAGCCACGGUCGCUGAGAAGGGCGAGAGAGAGACUAGCACCAGGGGAGCCCACACCGGGGAGAGGAAUCCCCGUAGCAACUGGCUUGAAAGCAAGAGUGGCUGAAUUUUAGGAAUU